Long non-coding RNA from Rhincodon typus (whale shark), 2333 nucleotides. RefSeq lists it as uncharacterized. Lineage: Eukaryota; Metazoa; Chordata; Chondrichthyes; Orectolobiformes; Rhincodontidae. The transcript has 2 exons. The record is from RefSeq and is a predicted model, not a curated record.
ACACGGAGAGCUGCGGGCCCUGUCGUAAAAUGUACCCCCGUUAGUCAGACUGAGAAGGGAGACUCUGGGCCAGGAGGCCCGGGUUCAAGUCCCACUUGGCCCAGAGAUUGUAUCGUAACAUCUCUGAACAUGUUAAUUAGGAAAAUAUAUAUUCCCGUGCAGGGAAAAAGAACUCUUAAAGGGCUCUUGUGGCACAGCGGUGAUGUCCCUACCUCUGAUCCAGGAGAACCGGGUUCAAGUUGCAUGUGCUAGAAGUGUGCGGAAACAUCUCUCCGAACAGAUUGAUAUCUACAGCAAGGCAGGCAUCCUAUAAUCUUCUGGCUGUUGUUACUCCAGAAAACAUUGCCAAGUUGAGAGGACACCACCAUCCUGCAUUGCUGCCUUUGCUACUCUAUAGCUCAUUAGGUAAUGGGGUCAGUUAACUCAGUUGGCUGGACAGCUGGCUUGCGAUGCAGAGUGAUGCCAACACAUGGGCUUAAUUUCCACACCAUGAGGCAACCAUGAAGGACUUUCCUUCCUAACCUCUUCCAUCACCUGUUGUGAACUGACACUCAAGUUAAAUCAUCACCAGUUCUCUCUCUGAAAUGAGAGAGCAAUACUUUGAUCUAGUAAGUCUGUGAUGACUUUGCUUUAAAUUUAUACCUGAUCACAGGUAAAUAUGCAAGUGUGGCCCAACAGACCUUGUAGUCCAUUUAAUAGACUUAACUGGCCAAGCAUGUAGUCUUCUUUUGGCUUCUCGUUUAGAUGGGACAGCUGAAAUGAAGAACUACCUAUCGAUGAGAUCAAGGCAGUCUAAUUAUUCUUUUUAGUUUUCUAAUGGCUCUAUUUCUUAUUGUCCACUUUGGCAGAUAUCAUUUCUUAGUCCAGCAAAUGGGCAUUUGAGCUGUUCUCAAUAUACCAUUAAUGACAUGCUUCCAUUAAUUGCUAAAUGCAAAAGAAGUAUUUUUCCAUCCCUCAUUGUGAGGAGAUCUACUCUGAGUUUAACAUGAACAUCAAAAUGUACCACUUCUCUCCACUCCACGCCUAAGGAUCCUGAUUCUUUUAAAAAUCUAGUUCCAUAGAUAUAACAUGGCAUUGACAGCACCGGUCAAACAGGGUCAUGCUGAUUGUUUAUGCUGUAGAGAAGCUCUGUCCUAAUCCUUUUCAUCCAUUCUAACCCACCAGCAUUCUCUUCUAGGUACUUUAUCCUUUACAGUAUUUUACCCAAAUGGAUGUUCUUCAUGUGAAUGAAAGCAAAUGAGUUUUGGUAAGCUAUUUCAUCCUGUCCUCAUUUUAUAGCAUGCACCAUACAGCAGGAAAUCCUGAUCUUUCUCCCUUCUUUAACGUAAGAACGUAUGGAAUAGGAGCAGGAGUAGGUGAAAUCACAAUAAUAGCUGAUCUCUUACUUUCCUAAUCACCAACCUUUCCCCCUUAUCACUUGUUUUCCCGAGAGAGCAAAAAAUACGUUUAUCUCAUUUUUCACCCUGAAAUAGAUUCAAUGAAGUAGCAUCCGCAAACCCCUGGAAGAGAGAAUUGUAAAGAUUCACAACUUCUCAUCUCAGUUCUAAAUGAUUGCUUCCUUGUUCUAAGACUGUGCCCCUCUGUUCUACACAGCCAGGGGAAGCAACUUCUUAGUUUCUGCCUUUUCAAGUCCCUUCAGAAUCUUACAUGUUUCAAUGAGAUCACCUCUGAACUCCGAAGAAUAGAGACCUAAUUUACUCAGUCCCUCCCCAAAGGACAAACCCCUCAUCCCAAUCUACUGAACCUCCACUGUACUGCCUCCAGAGCAAGUAUAUUCUUCCUUAAGCAUGGAGAACAAAACUGCACACAGUACUCCGGGUGUAGUCCCAUCAAAGCUACAUACAGUAGUAAGACUUUUUUUUAAUUCUUGUAUUCCAGACCUCUUAUAAUUAAUACUAAUAUGCUAUUUUCCUUCCCAAUUGCUUGACGACUCCCGGCCUCCGGCAUCCACUCCCAGUGUGGCGGCAUCCCAUGGCGGUUUCUAGGUAUGGUGUGGCGCAGCCUCUCGGCAUGGUAUGGCGACAUCCCAAAGCGGCCUCCCGACAUGGCAUCCUCAGCUCAAUGUGGUGGUAUGGAGUGACCUCUCAGCUUCAUGAUCCUCAAGGUGAAGCCCAGUGCAGUCUGGAGGCUAGGUACCAGCAUGGUAUAGGUUGGAAGACUGCUGUUCUGGAUUUUAUUUCUGUGAUGCUGGACAUUUUAUUUCUCCAUUUUCUAAGAUCUUGUGACUAAAGAAUCUGUUCCUAGGUAUAAGAUGGCGCUGUAAGUGGCAACAUAUAAACAUUUCACUGUACUGAUUGAGUAAAUGUGACAAUAAAGCCAAUUAUGAUUGCUAA